ACUCCUGCAUGUGCUGGUACUAGGACCCGUAGGACACUGGAGAAGCGGGCAGGGGGCGCCGACACAGGGUUGCUGUGCGUUGUAACCACCACCCCUCAGCUCCACACCUUCCUUCCUCCAGUCAAACCCACCUUCUCCGGCCAUGAACUUCUCCAGGAAGCUGUCCCAGGUCCCGGGCUCAGGGUGCACCUUGGCCAUGUGGUAGAAGUGAUAGUAGGAAACCGCCACAUCCUUCGCGUUGCGGGCAACAUAGACCACCUGCAGGGGCAGAGGUCCCGGCCCCAGCACCAUCACCACACAGCCCGCCCCAGGCCAGCUCAUCUCUUGGAUUGGCAAAGGAGGAACCUGAGGCUUAGCGGCUGACCUGCUUGAGAUCUUAUGGCACAGACCCUUGCCAGAGCAAGAAGCAGAUGGUGUCUCCGCUGAAGAUGAGACCAGGCUGAAGGAAGAGGCGCGACCUUCCCAGAAGAACAGGACCAAAGCUGGGCUGCGCCGGAGCCUCCUUCCUGGAUUCCCAUUCCCCACAUCUGGAUGUUUUUUGUUCUUUUUGUUUUGUUUCUUUCUUUGAGUCGGGGUCUCUCUCUGUCACACAGGCUGGAAUGCAGUGGUGUGAUCAUGGCUCACUGCAGCCUCAAACUUCUGGGCUGGGUGAUCCUCCCACAUCAGUCUCCCAAGAAGCUGAUACCACAGGCACAUGCUACCACACGUGGCUUUUUUUUUUUUUUUUUUUUUUUUUUGGAGCGGGGGAAGAGACUGCAUCCCUAUAUGGCCCAUGCUGGUUUCCAACUCCUGGCCUCAAGUCAGCCUCCUGCCUUGGACUCCCAAAGUGCUGAGCUGACAGGCAUAAGCCACUGUGCCCGGCCUCACCUUGACCUGAUCUAACAGAGUCUGGGGGAGCAGGGCCAAGGGCAGAGCUGUUCAAAAUCCCAGGGCCUGGGCCAUGGUGCAGACCAGUGAAAGCACCCUCGUGGGGCAGGAGGCCCAGAUAUCAGGGUGUGUGAAGGUCUCCAGGAGAGUCCAGCUGCACUGAGGAAGCUCUAGGACCUGCCUGUGCUGCCUCCCUGCCAGCCAGCGCCCUUUGUCUCACCAUUUCCUGCUGUGACCCCCAGCCUCCACCCAGUGGGCUCCUCUCCCCAGUGCUCCCCUCCUUGAGCCCCUGAACCCCUCACAUGUGGAAACCUCCCAGGCCGGCCAGGCCUGUGAUCCACCUGCCCGGCCACAGUCCAUCUGGGCUCCAGGACAAGCAUGGUCCAUUGAGCAACUGAGCUGGUAUUGGGAGCCAGAGCUGGUGUGGGAAUGAACAAAACUCUGAUGAUUCUGCAGAAUGAGGAGGGGACACCGUGGCUCAUGCCUGUAAUCCCAGAGCUUUGGAAGCCCAGUGGGGAAGAAUCACUUGAGCCUUGGAAUUUGAGACCAACUUGGGCAAUACAGCAAGACCCCAUCUCUAGAAAAAAAUAUAUUUAAAACUGAGCUGGGCAGCCAGGUGCGGAGGCUCACACCUGUAAUCCCAGCAUUUUGGGAGGCCGAGGUGGGCGGAUCACCUGAGGUCGGGAGUUCGAGACCAGCCUGACCAACAUGGAGCAACCCCUUCUCUACGAAAAAUACAAAAUAAGCAGGGCAUGAUAGCACAUGCCUGUAAUCCCAGCUCCUUGGGAGACUAAGGCAGAAGAGUCGCUUGAACCCAGGAGGCGGAUGUUGCAGUGAGCUGUAUCACGCCAUUGCAUUCCAGCCUGAGCAACACGAGCAAAACUCCGUCUC
Molecule: long non-coding RNA, 1758 nt
Organism: Pongo pygmaeus (Bornean orangutan)
Lineage: Eukaryota; Metazoa; Chordata; Mammalia; Primates; Hominidae
Exons: 3
Source: RefSeq, a predicted model, not a curated record